RNAcentral lists this non-coding RNA (180 nucleotides) under Deltaproteobacteria bacterium. RNAcentral describes it as "6S RNA". It matches the Rfam family "6S / SsrS RNA". Rfam says of the family: E. coli 6S RNA was the first non coding RNA to be sequenced, but its function was unknown until recently. It consists of 184 nucleotides that fold into an extended hairpin structure with a large single-stranded internal bulge. The 6S RNA specifically associates with RNA polymerase holoenzyme containing the sigma70 specificity factor. The record is from RNAcentral. Lineage: Bacteria; Pseudomonadati; Myxococcota; Myxococcia.
AGACCCCUGCCGUGUUUGUGAUUGAGAGAUGUUCUUUGACCCAACAUUUAUAUUAAAGGGAGCUUUCACUGGUUUUGGUGUGCAUGUUCUGUUUGUAUGGAAAAGCCUAAAGAAACUAUAAGGCACCCACCUUGCAAAUUGGUUCAAAGACCUUUCAACACGGCUCUGUGCGGGGGUUAU